CGUUAACGUCAACGCCGUUCUAAAGUUUCGCUCCUUUUUCUCAAAUAAAAAAUGUUUGAUUCAAAUUAGGGAAACUCCUCAAAAUUUCACAAUUUCGCGUAAAUCAAACCCAAUUUAAUUAUAUCCUCCUUUUCAAAACCCUAAUUACCGUCUAACUAAACCCUAAUUCUCAACCAUGUUAUAAGCGAACAAUUUCUGUUUUGAUUGCAGAGAAAACAACGGAAUAUUAGCUGAGAAAGUGAAUACACAAUGAAGGUUUGCAGCUCUUGUGGAAAAAAAGGUCUCCACAACUCGCGAAGAUGGAUGAAAUCGAGUCAUGCAAUAUCUGCGGGAAAGUUUUGGAGUUUCCGGGCUUCAGAGCUAAUCCCCUAUUUAUAAAUGGGGAGGUAGUGCCGAGACUCCUAUCGAAAAUCCCAAGUGAAAACAUUUCACGGGAAAGAUUGUAUGAAAAAGGUUUGUUUUGUUGCGCUUCUUUCCUUGUUUGUUCAACAAUACAUCUGUUUCCUAUAAAAAAGUUUCGAGCACGUGCCAUUAUUUUCAAAUUUCUUGCUAGAAUAGAUAGAAAACUGUGUUUACUUGCCAAAAGUUGAAACUGGAAUGACCAUGUUUCUAUUUUUUCAAGUUUGUGAAAGUUGAAGUUUUACUUAGUAAUUGAACUAAAUUAUUUGAAUUUUGAUUUGUGUAGUUAGCUAACUAGUAUACAUGCUUUCGAAUAAUUUGGUUAAAACAAAAGUUUUAUGAAGAGUACAUCAUCAUUUUUCUGCAAAGUGCUGUUGGUUGCUAUUUAUCACUAGAAUUAUUGUUUAGAUUUGUAUAAUUUAUGCGUUUUAGUUCAAUUUCAAACCGAUAAGCUGCAUUUAGAAGAUGAUAUGACUUCUAAUUCUUUAGAUGACUCAAAUGACUUUUUUGAUAUAGAUGAUGCUGAGGUGAACAACCGUUUUUGUGUUUUUCUAGGCAUAUUACUACUUGUCUAAUUCCACCUUUGAAUCCCAUGUAAUGGAAGAGUUAGUGUAGGAGAUUUAAAAAUUCAAAUAGCAUUUGCUGAUUUUCUCUGCUCACGGUUGCUUUGGGGGCCUUCUUGCCAGAAAUAUCAGAGGAAUUAACUCAAGUAAAAAUAAUCAUAUUUCCCAUUUCCUACAACUUAUAGCUGAAUUCUAUACACAACAUUUCUGUUAUAUCUGAUCUUUCAUGUUUCAAAAACAACCACCUGAUCUUCCAGGUUCCAAAAACAACCACAGUUUUUUAACCAUGAAUUGCUAUUCCGAAGAUCUAGAAACUGGUGUGAUUCCAUGUUCAAGCUCUGUGAUUUGUGAUUUACAGGAACACUCAUGCCAUCUUCAUAUUCCUGCUUGUUAUUGCUGUUAUCAUAGAUGUUAUUAUUCAAGAUUUGUCUCCUUCUGGUAUUACUUUGUUCUCUCAUGUGAGUGCAUGCGUUCUGCGAUCAUGCACAUGCAGGUUUGUUUGUGCUUCCCUUAGGAUUUUCAGGAACUCUUAUGCAAUCUUCUUCGUGCCUGCUAAAUUGAUUUCUAGUGCCUUUUGCUAUCAUAAAUACUAUUUUAAACAAGAAUUAUGUUGUCCCAGUGUUGCUUUGCGCACUCUAGUGAGUGUGUGCACAUGCAGUCUGUGUGAUGCAAUCUUUCAUAGGGAACAAGAUUUGUGUUGUUCCGGUGUUGCCUUCUGCACCUUUUCAUUCGUUUAUAUCUUGUCAAAAAGUGAAAAUCUCUGGGUUUGGUAUCCUAUUACUUCUAUUACUUUCUUCAAUUUCCUGUAAUCAACUGAGCAAAUUAAAAGAGCACGAGCAUUAUUCAACAUGGCUCCAUUUUCUCUAUUUCCCCUACUUGAAAAUGAUAACGGUUUUUGUGAAUUAUCUUGUCAAAGAGGUUCUUCAAUAUUUGCAGUUUGUUGGGUUCGUCUAAGAAUAUAACUUACAUUUUUAUAUGAACUGUCUGGCAAGUGUUCCAAUGACCCCCAAAGAUACAUACGACUGAUAUCUGAAAAUACUUUAAUUUCAUAAUUCUUAUCACAAGUCUAGGUGCAUGACUUGAGUUUUUUUUUGUAUUUUAAAAUCUAUUUCUUUUGCUUUUGUUCUUUUAAUGCAUGGUUGAAAUUGUUGCAAUGUCUUUUCAACAAAAUCACUCAGCAUUGGGAAUGGGAAUAAAGCUCCAAUCCUUGAUGGUUUUUCUUUUCUUGGUAUUGGUAUAUCUUUCUUGGUAAAGAAGAAAUGGAGUCUUUUCUUGGGCCACCCAUGAAGAGAGUCUGGGUAAUGUACUUACAGGAGUUGGAGUGUGAUUAGCCUGUUCGUUAGAGCAUGGAGAGGCAGGAUGUAGUUGGCUCUUCUUUUGAAAUUUUUUAACUUUAACCAUUAGAUGAUUCAUUCUGCACACCUAAGCAAUGUUUGCUUAAUUUUUAUUCUUAGGUAUUUCCUUCUUUUCCAGCUAAUCAUUAUUAGUAGAAGAUAUACAAACUUAAUACAAAAGAAAUAUGAUAUUGGUCUCUAUUUCUAAAGAAACUUGUGUAGCGAGUACCUAUUCUUUCGUGAUAUGAAUAAGAAAUGAUAUAAAUUUUUUGAUUUAUAAACUAGUGAUUCCAUUACAAUUUUUAUUUGAAUGCAUAAGAAUAUAGUUUUAUGGUACUCUGAAAGUAAGAGAUAGUGAGCGACUUCUAUUGUUCUUUUUAAAUGUUGAUUAUUUAUUUAUAUUUGUCUGCUAAAACAUUCAAAUUGCCUUGUCAAACUUUCUGAGAUAUGAAGUAAUUUUCAGGUUUUAAUAUAUCUAGAAAUUCAUAUUGUACUAUCCUUUGGAUUUGAUUAGUUUUUUCCUUAUAGUUGUCAUACACAAAGAUGCAUGCAUCAACUGACAUUUUUAACAUUCCAAUUUAUAUUUGAAGAAUCACGCUUAUUUUCCAUUUUUUUCUUUAAAAAACAGUUUUACUAUUUUUAUUUCAUAAAAGCAUUAGAUCUUUUUUACCCAUCAAUAUCAAUAUACAAACUCGUGGUCCAGUGGCCUGCUUUAUCCCCCCCAACUCCCCCCAAAACAAUGCUCACCAUUCCUGCAUUUGUAACAUCACUUGUUGAGUUUUAAUUGACUUUUUUUAUGGUUUUGGCCAAAUUAUUUGAACAACAAAUAUAACCUGUAGGAUCAGUCAUCACCAGAAAAAUUUCAACAUUACAUUUUUAGUUAUAAACUAAAAAGUUUUUAUAGUGACAAUUAUUUGAUUUAUGUUUUGUUCAUCUUGCAUCAAUUCAU
Molecule: long non-coding RNA, 3245 nt
Organism: Populus euphratica (Euphrates poplar)
Lineage: Eukaryota; Viridiplantae; Streptophyta; Magnoliopsida; Malpighiales; Salicaceae
Exons: 4
Source: RefSeq, a predicted model, not a curated record